AUUGAACGCUGGCGGCAUGCUUUACACAUGCAAGUCGAACGGUAACAGGCCGCAAGGUGCUGACGAGUGGCGAACGGGUGAGUAAUGCAUCGGAACGUGCCCAGUCGUGGGGGAUAACUACUCGAAAGAGUAGCUAAUACCGCAUACGAUCUAUGGAUGAAAGCGGGGGACCGUAAGGCCUCGCGCGAUUGGAGCGGCCGAUGUCAGAUUAGGUAGUUGGUGGGGUAAAGGCUCACCAAGCCAACGAUCUGUAGCUGGUCUGAGAGGACGACCAGCCCCACUGGGGGAUGACAACGCCCACAACUCCAACGGGGGCCACCGGGGGGGUAUUUGGACGAACGGGCCGAGGCUACCCCCAGAAGUCCCGCGUCCAGAAAGAGGCCCUUGGCGUUGAAAGCUGUUUUAGACGGAACCAAAGCACAUUUGUUUAAUCCCCGGGUUUAGCGGCGCAACCUAAGAAAAAAGCCCGGCCCAACUCCGUG
RNAcentral lists this ribosomal RNA (482 nucleotides) under uncultured bacterium. RNAcentral describes it as "partial 16S ribosomal RNA". It matches the Rfam family "Bacterial small subunit ribosomal RNA", at positions 30 to 507 of the family's 1533-position model. The record is from RNAcentral.